GGUGGCUCAGCGGUAGAGCACUUGCCUUGCAUGCAGGAGGCCCUGGGUUCGAUUCCUCAGCACCA
This 65-nucleotide transfer RNA is filed under the name Dipodomys ordii (Ord's kangaroo rat). It matches the Rfam family "tRNA". From Rfam's summary of the family: Transfer RNA (tRNA) molecules are approximately 80 nucleotides in length. The record is from Rfam by way of RNAcentral. Lineage: Eukaryota; Metazoa; Chordata; Mammalia; Rodentia; Heteromyidae.